RNAcentral lists this non-coding RNA (174 nucleotides) under Olsenella uli DSM 7084. The record is from RNAcentral. Lineage: Bacteria; Bacillati; Actinomycetota; Coriobacteriia; Coriobacteriales; Atopobiaceae.
GAGGUGUCGUCCCCCUGCGGUAACAACUGGGUGAACCGACAAGCGUUUUGAGGGAGCCCGUAUUUCGUUUCCCAGUACAGAGAUCCUCCCUUGUUGAGGAAGCUGGAACAGACGAUGAGGGCACCCACCUUAUGAAGGUGGGUUCAUUUCGCGGCCGCAGGGGGCGACUUCUCU